RNAcentral lists this transfer RNA (77 nucleotides) under Candidatus Deianiraea vastatrix. RNAcentral describes it as "tRNA-Cys". It matches the Rfam family "tRNA". From Rfam's summary of the family: Transfer RNA (tRNA) molecules are approximately 80 nucleotides in length. Their secondary structure includes four short double-helical elements and three loops (D, anti-codon, and T loops). The record is from RNAcentral. Lineage: Bacteria; Pseudomonadati; Pseudomonadota; Alphaproteobacteria; Rickettsiales; Candidatus Deianiraeaceae.
GGCCGAAUAGCAUAGCUGGUCUAAUGCAGAGGAUUGCAAAUCCUUGAUCGUGAGUUCGAAUCUCACUUCGGCCUCCA